UUGAAAAGGUUACAGACUGCUGUUGUAAUUUUUUCUUUAUUUUAUAUUCGUUUAUUAGGUGAAACUAGAUGAAUGGAACAGAAAUUGAAAGAAAGACGCGAAAAUUAAAAAAAAAAAAAAAAAAAAAAAAAAAAAAAAAAAAAAAAAAAAAAAAAAAAAAAAAAAAAAAAAAAAAAAAAAAAAAAAAAAAAAAAAGAGGCAAGCUUCAAAGUUUGAG
Molecule: long non-coding RNA, 217 nt
Filed under: Olea europaea (common olive)
Lineage: Eukaryota; Viridiplantae; Streptophyta; Magnoliopsida; Lamiales; Oleaceae
Description: long non-coding RNA (OEUR_LNC006534)
Source: RNAcentral